GCCUGAGUGGCUCACUUGGUUGAGCGUCCGACUUUGGCUCAGGUCAUAAUCUCAGGGUUUGUGGGUUAGAGCCCCAUGUCAGGCU
This 85-nucleotide transfer RNA is filed under the name Felis catus (domestic cat). It matches the Rfam family "tRNA". Rfam says of the family: Transfer RNA (tRNA) molecules are approximately 80 nucleotides in length. Lineage: Eukaryota; Metazoa; Chordata; Mammalia; Carnivora; Felidae. The record is from Rfam by way of RNAcentral.